Molecule: ribosomal RNA, 491 nt
Filed under: uncultured bacterium
Lineage: Bacteria
Description: partial 16S ribosomal RNA
Rfam family: Bacterial small subunit ribosomal RNA
Source: RNAcentral
AGUGAACGCUGGCGGUAGGCCUAACACAUGCGAGUCGAACGGCAGCACAGUAAGAGCUUGCUCUUACGGGUGGCGAGUGGCGGACGGGUGAGGAAUACAUCGGAAUCUACUUUUUCGUGGGGGAUAACGUAGGGAAACUUACGCUAAUACCGCAUACGACCUACGGGUGAAAGCAGGGGAUCUUCGGACCUUGCGCGAUUGAAUGAGCCGAUGUCGGAUUAGCUAGUUGGCGGGGUAAAGGCCCACCAAGGCGACGAUCCGUAGCUGGUCUGAGAGGAUGAUCAGCCACACUGGAACUGAGACACGGUCCAGACUCCUACGGGAGGCAGCAGUGGGGAAUAUUGGACAAUGGGCGCAAGCCUGAUCCAGCCAUACCGCGUGGGUGAAGAAGGCCUUCGGGUUGUAAAGCCCUUUUGUUGGGAAAGAAAAGCAGCAGGUUAAGACCCCGCUGUUCGGACGGUACCCAAAGAAUAAGCACCGGCUAACUUCGG